UAAUUUCACACAAGUCGCUCCUGAGUAUAAGUCGCACCCCCGGCCAAACUACGAAAAAAAACUGCGACUUCUUCAAAGACCCCUUCAAGUUUGCAAAAAGCCUUUUUACAAAAGGACAAAAGUGGAGAACUCGCAACAUCAAAGAAAGAUCUUGAAGCUGACCUCAAACAGAACCAGGAUUUGUAAGAAGACAUCUCAUGAGAACACCAGCAUGGAGCUGAGGCCAGAGAGUCUACUGGAGAGGAGGUGAAGUGGUACCAGCUCCUGAUGCCAACCAGUGAUGGAGAUGGACGUCCUGGACUACUAUCAAAAUCAUUCACCAUCACCUCUAUAAGCAGUACAUGAAGCAUCAGUGAACAGUCUCUGAGGGGCCUGUCCAUCACCUGCAGAGAAGAGGUGCAGGCGUCCUGACGCGUUGCCGCCCAGGAAUGCGUUCCUGGUGGGGUGGAAGGCGGUGACGGACUGCACGGUGUGGAGGAGCUCGUCGUCUUUGAAGGACUGUAAGAGUCGGCCGCUCUCGUGGAACACCUGCACCUUGCGCGGCCAGGAAACGCUUCCCACUACGAGACAGUUCUCCUGUUUGGGGUCCCACACGGCCGACAGUUUGGACAGCCAGCGGCCCGUUUUCAUGUUGUGGCUGCAAAUGGAGCGAAGACAAAUGGUCACAGAAGACAAACACUGACAGUUCUAUCUGAGUGGCUCAAACACGCGGGGAAAAAGCGUGUAGCUGCUUUAUCUAGCGGAGAAGAUCAUAAAAUAGAGUUCCAUUAAAGGCCUACUGAAAUGAUUUUUUUUUAUUUAAACGGGAAUAGCAGAUCCAUUCUAUGUGUCAUACUUGAUCAUUUCGCGAUAU
Entelurus aequoreus (snake pipefish) is the source of this 853-nucleotide long non-coding RNA. RefSeq lists it as uncharacterized. The transcript has 3 exons. Lineage: Eukaryota; Metazoa; Chordata; Actinopteri; Syngnathiformes; Syngnathidae. The record is from RefSeq and is a predicted model, not a curated record.